This is a long non-coding RNA of Loxodonta africana (African savanna elephant), 289 nucleotides long. RefSeq lists it as uncharacterized. The transcript has 3 exons. NCBI's taxonomy places the organism in Eukaryota, Metazoa, Chordata, Mammalia, Proboscidea, Elephantidae. The record is from RefSeq and is a predicted model, not a curated record.
GCUCCCUGGGUCUCAGUGGGAGCAUGGGCCCCACGCCUCGCCUCCCGUCUGACCUUGCCCUGCCCUCGCGCUGCCCCACAGGGACAGGCCGCUGAGUGAGGACACUGUCUGCCUUGUUGUCUCUGGCCUGCCAUGUGACUUUGGGCCUCGGUGCCCAGCUAUAGGAAGAUCCUACCAGGCAGGGGGAACAGCAAGUGCAAAGGCCCUGAGAGCCAAACCCAGCCUCCUGGAGGAGGGAGAAAGAGGAGCUACAAAGGGUACAGCUGGUGCUGCUGGGCCCAAGGGAGGC